AUUGAACGCUGGCGGCAGGCUUAACACAUGCAAGUCGAGCGGAGAGAGGUAGCUUGCUACUGAUCUUAGCGGCGGACGGGUGAGUAAUGCUUAGGAAUCUGCCUAUUAGUGGGGGACAACAUUUCGAAAGGAAUGCUAAUACCGCAUACGUCCUACGGGAGAAAGCAGGGGAUCUUCGGACCUUGCGCUAAUAGAUGAGCCUAAGUCGGAUUAGCUAGUUGGUAGGGUAACGGCCUACCAAGGCGACGAUCCGUAACUGGUCUGAGAGGAUGAUCAGUCACACUGGAACUGAGACACGGUCCAGACUCCUACGGGAGGCAGCAGUGGGGAAUAUUGGACAAUGGGCGAAAGCCUGAUCCAGCCAUGCCGCGUGUGUGAAGAAGGCCCUCGGGUCGUAAAGCACUUUAAGUUGGGAGGAAGGACUUACAGCGAAUACCUGUGAGUUUUGACGUUACCGACAGAAUAAGCACCGGCUAACUUCGUGCCAGCAGCCGCAGUAA
Molecule: ribosomal RNA, 500 nt
Filed under: uncultured bacterium
Lineage: Bacteria
Description: partial 16S ribosomal RNA
Rfam family: Bacterial small subunit ribosomal RNA
Source: RNAcentral